This is a long non-coding RNA of Lepus europaeus (European hare), 634 nucleotides long. RefSeq lists it as uncharacterized. The transcript is spliced from 4 exons. The record is from RefSeq and is a predicted model, not a curated record. NCBI's taxonomy places the organism in Eukaryota, Metazoa, Chordata, Mammalia, Lagomorpha, Leporidae.
CAGCGGCCUUCGCGGGCCUCUGUCCUGCCAGCAGACCAGGCCCCCUUGGCGCCAUCCUCAGAUGGAAGUCUGCGCCUCAUCUGUUCCUGCCCAAAAGCCUGUUCAAGCCUUGAAGAGCCGUCCUCGAUGCUGCUGGCGGAGCCUGAGGGAGACCCAGCGUCCCCGGGGUCAGGCCUGAAUCAGAGAGGCUGCCGCCCGAGACGGCUGCGGCAGUUCCCUGGCACUUGUGGACAUUGGUAGGCGUGGUCCUCUUCUUCUUCGGCAGCUUCCGGAAGACUACCCCUCGGGACUCAGUUGCUGUUCCAGAGGAGCAGAAGGGCUCGUUCUUUGACCGCACACAAGGACUAGAAAGCAGAAGCUUAGAGAAACUCCAAGAAUCCCUCUGUGCUCUGUUGCAGCCUGUCCAAGGUUCUGACACCUCAUGCGUCGUGGAGUUCUUUGUUGGAACAUGUGCUGAGCACUGGUGCUAAGCCUUCGAACAAGAAGAUGAGCAGCCAAGAGCAACACCUGCAGGAAGGGCCGGGCUGCUGGUGUUGGAGGAGUGGCAGUGGAUUCAACAGGACCCUCAGGUUUGUCCCUCCUCGCCUGGUGAGUCUUCUUGAAAUGUUUGUGCGUAUCAUAUGACAGCCCUGGC